UACAGAGGUCCCAAGCGUUGUUCGGAUUCACUGGGCGUAAAGGGUGCGUAGGCGGCUCACUAAGUCGGAUGUGAAAACUCCAGGCUCAACCUGGAGACGCCAUUCGAUACUGGUGUGGCUAGAGUCCAGUAGGGGAGUGUGGAAUUCCUGGUGUAGCGGUGAAAUGCAUAGAUAUCAGGAGGAACACCAGCGGCGAAGGCGGCACUCUGGGCUGGAACUGACGCUGAGGAGCGAAAGCGUGGGGAGCGAACAGG
Molecule: ribosomal RNA, 254 nt
Filed under: uncultured bacterium
Lineage: Bacteria
Description: partial 16S ribosomal RNA
Rfam family: Bacterial small subunit ribosomal RNA
Source: RNAcentral